CCGUAGGUGAACCUGCGGAGGGAUCAUUAUCGAGUUAUUCAACUCCCAAACCCUAUGUGAACUUACCACUUGUUGCUUCGGCGCGCGUUUCGGCGCCGCCGAGGACACUUAAACUCUUUGUUUUUAUAAGCAUUUCUGAGUGGCCGAAAGGCAAAAAUACAAAUGAAUCAAAACUUUCAACAACGGAUCUCUUGGUUCUGGCAUCGAUGAAGAACGCAGCGAAAUGCGAUAAGUAAUGUGAAUUGCAGAAUUCAGUGAAUCAUCGAAUCUUUGAACGCACAUUGCGCCCGCCAGCAUUCUGGCGGGCAUGCCUGUUCGAGCGUCAUUUCAACCCUCGAGCCCGACUCUUUUGAGGACGGCUCGGCGUUGGGGGACGGCAGACUCCCCCCGGCAUCUCGCCGGGGACGCCGCCCCCGAAAUCUAGUGGCGGCCCUCCGAGGCGACCUCUGCGUAGUAACUUGUUCUCGCACCGGAAAGCUCAGAGCGGCCACGCCG
Molecule: ribosomal RNA, 495 nt
Filed under: Gloeotinia temulenta
Lineage: Eukaryota; Fungi; Ascomycota; Leotiomycetes; Helotiales
Description: eukaryotic LSU rRNA
Rfam family: 5.8S ribosomal RNA (bases 172-325)
Source: RNAcentral